GCAAGAUACCACGGGCGCACGGCGGAUGCCUUGGCACAGGGAGCCGAUGAAGGACGCGGCAAGCUGCGAUAAUCCCCGGCGAGGAGCACACAUCCUUCGACCCGGGGGUCUCCGAAUGGGCGAACCCAUGCACAGCGGUGUGCAUAUCCCCGGCCCGAACACAUAGGGCCGGGGAGGACAACCCGGGGAACUGAAACAUCUAAGUACCCGGAGGAGAGGAAAUCAAUCUCGAGACUCCCCGAGUAGCGGCGAGCGAAAGGGGACCGAUGGCCAAACCGUCGAGCGGGCAUACCCGGCAGGGGUUCCGCCGACGGGGUUGCAGGGCCGCGCAUCCGGGGGCUGCCGCCCCCGGGCGCAGGUCCGGCUGGGGAGCGGAACGGCAUGGGAGGGCCGGCCGCAGCGGGUGACAGCCCCGUACGCGAACCCAGACCGGACGGCGCGACGCGGUCCCUGAGUAGGGCCGGGCACGUGAAACCCGGUCCGAACCUGGGUGGACCACCAUCCAAGCCUGAGUACUACCCUGUGACCGAUAGCGCACCAGUACCGUGAGGGAAAGGUGAAAAGCACCCCGGGAGGGGAGUGAAACAGUACCUGAAACCGUGCGCCCACGAGCAGUCGGAGCAACUUUAUGUUGUGACGGCGUGCCUUUUGUAGAAUGAGCCAGCGAGUCGCUGGCGCGGGGCGAGGUUAACCGAAAGGGAGCCGGAGCGAAAGCGAGCCUUAACAGGGCGACUUGAGUCCCGCGCCGCGGACGCGAAGCCGGGUGAGCUAUCCGUGGGCAGGCUGAAGCGGGGGUAAGACCCCGUGGAGGGCCGAACGCACGUCGGUUGAAAACGGCGGCGAUGACCUGCGGAUAGGGGUGAAAGGCCAAUCAAACCCGGAGAUAUCUCGUUCUCCCCGAAAUAGCUUUAGGGCUAGCGUCGCGCGUUCACCGCCGGAGGUAGAGCACCGGAUGGACGAGGGGGCUUCGCCGCCUACCGAAUCCAACCGAACUCCGAAUGCCGGCGGCCCAGAGCGCGGCAGUCAGAGCAUGUGGGCUAAGCUGUGUGCUCGAGAGGGAAACAGCCCGGACCGCCCGCUAAGGUCCCCAAGUUCCAGCCGAGUGGCAAAGGAUGUGCGUCCGCCCAGACAACCAGGAUGUUGGCUUAGAAGCAGCCAUCCAUUCAAAGAGUGCGUAACAGCUCACUGGUCGAGUGGACAUGCGCCGACAAUACACGGGGCUAAGCUGGACACCGAAGCGGCGGGAUUCUAAUUCAUUAGAAUCGGUAGGGGAGCUUCCCAUGGGCGGAGAAGCCGGAGGGCGACCGACGGUGGAGCGCAUGGGAGUGAGAAUGCUGGCAUGAGUAGCGAGAGACGAGAGAGUAACUCGUCCGCCGUGAACCCGAGGUUUCCUGGGCAAGGCUAAUCCUCCCAGGGUCAGUCGGGGGCUAAGGCGAGGCCGGUAGGCGUAGCCGACGCGCAGCAGGCAGACAUUCCUGCACCGCGCACGCGGCGCUACGACCGACGGGGCGACGGAUGGGGGUGGCUCGGCGGGGUUCUGGACGUCCCCGUGAUGGAGCGCGGCCCGCGGACCAGGGAAAUCCGGUCCGCAUUGAGGGCGAGGCUCCGGACGAAGCGACUGAGCGAAGCGAGUGAGCCCGAGGUCCCUAGAAAAACCCCUAGGCAGGCGCGUGCGCGCCCGUACCGCAAACCGACACAGGUGGGUGGGUAGAACAUACCGAGGCGAUCGGGUCAACCAUGGUCAAGGAACUCGGCACAAUGGCCCCGUAACUUCGGGAGAAGGGGUGCCCGCGCGUACGUGAACCGGCUUGCCCGGGGAGCGGAGGCGGGCCGCAGUGGAGAGGCCCAAGCGACUGUUUACCAAAAACACAGGACUCUGCAGAAGCCGCAAGGCGACGUAUAGGGUCUGACGCCUGCCCGGUGCCGGAAGGUCACGCGGAGGAGUUAGCGCAUCGCGCGAAGCCCCGAAGCCAAGCCCCGGUAAACGGCGGCCGUAACUAUAACGGUCCUAAGGUAGCGAAAUUCCUUGUCGGGU
RNAcentral lists this ribosomal RNA (2035 nucleotides) under human gut metagenome. RNAcentral describes it as "bacterial LSU rRNA". It matches the Rfam family "Bacterial large subunit ribosomal RNA", at positions 1 to 1977 of the family's 2925-position model. The record is from RNAcentral.